RNAcentral lists this long non-coding RNA (279 nucleotides) under Oryza brachyantha (malo sina). RNAcentral describes it as "long non-coding RNA (OBRA_LNC003423)". The record is from RNAcentral. Lineage: Eukaryota; Viridiplantae; Streptophyta; Magnoliopsida; Poales; Poaceae.
AGUUCGGAUUUGAGAAGAUUUGUUGUAUUAGAGAUAGAGAUAUGGUUAGUUACGGAUAAGGAUUGGUUUCUCAUGAGAUUGGGAGUCCUAAUUCGUGGGCCUUGCAUACCCACGUCGAGGUUAUAAAUAGGUACCGAGAGGUAUGCCCCCGGAGAGCUUUUUGUGCCGUUUGAGAGAAAAAGUUAGGGUAUCGACUCUAUUUCGAUAUUAGAUCGAAAGUUUUGGUUAGGAGUGCUUUCUAUGCACUUUGUAAACACUGGUUGAUCAAUAAAAGUCGAG